This 1176-nucleotide long non-coding RNA is filed under the name Melopsittacus undulatus (budgerigar). Its description in RNAcentral is "lncRNA (ENSMUNG00000017071.1)". The record is from RNAcentral. Lineage: Eukaryota; Metazoa; Chordata; Aves; Psittaciformes; Psittaculidae.
AUGCUAUGGAGGGGUCCAUGCUAUGGGGGUGUCCAUGCUAUGGGGUGGGGUCCAUGCUAUGGAGGGGUCCAUGCUAUGGAGGGGUCCAUGUUCUGGGGGUGUCCAUGCUAUGGGGUGGGGUCCAUGCUAUGGAGGGGUCCAUGCUAUGGGGGUGUCCAUGCUAUGGAGGGCUCCAUGCUAUGGGGUGGGGUCCAUGCUAUGGAGGGGUCCAUGCUGUGGGGGUGUCCAUGCUAUGGAGGGGUCCAUGCUAUGGAGGGGUCCAUGCUAUGGGGGUGUCCAUGCUCUGGCUGUGCCCGUUCUCUCUCUGGGGUGUCUCCUUCUUCCGGUCCCCCCCACUCGGGCGUGCGCGGGUCCGGGGGGGGGGGGGCCCAUUGGCGCUGCCUUUGUCGCGGAAGGGCGGAUGCGAACGGAGCGGGGGGGGGGGGGAAUCCCGUCCCUUCCCUUCCCCCCCCCCCCCGGAGCUCAAUGGGAGGGUCCGGGGGGGUCCCCGUGUACUCACCCCGGAGCGGAGCGGGACCCGGCGGCCGGGCCGGACCAAGCGGAUGCGGGAGGGGGGGGGGGGGGAAGGAGGGGGGGGGGAAUGAAAAGCGGCUUUUCCCGCGGGGGGGGGGAGGGGUGGGGAGGUGGGGGAGGGGCGCGAUGACUCGCAGGAACCCGGGGCGGGUUCCCCCCCCCCCCCGCCUUUGUUCUAAUGGAGGGACCCAAGUGAGGGGGGGGAGCGCAAAGAGGAACCCCCGAACCCCCCCCGCUGCAGGGGGGGUCUUUGUGUGGGGCAGGAGGGGAGGGGGAGGUGAGGGGGGGUGUAAAGGAGGGAGGGGCGGGGUCUGUGCGAGGGGCGGGGCUUGUUUGGGAAGGGGCGGGGCGAGGCCCAUGGGGUGUUAUUGUAGGGUCGCGGGUGCAGCGACACCGCGUGGUGACUUUGGGGUCCCCCCCUCCGAUCCCAGUGAUCCACACACCGGGAUCCAUCCCAUCCCAUUGCAUUGGUGUGGGGGUCCCCCAUUGAUCACCCCCCAUCUCCAUGGGUUCUUCCUGUUACGGAUCCCCCCCCUCCUUUCCCCAUGGUCCCCCCCAAAGCUCUGCUCCUUAGCACCGCUUAGAUCCAUCUGGAUCCCCCCAAAUCCCUGUCCUUGGAAUCCUCCCAAUUCCCAGUAUCCCCCCAUUAAAAGGACCCCUUAA